GAAAACACUAUCAGCAGCACCAGAAAGGAGGAAGACAGAGUGUGGGAACACAGGACCUGCACUUUCAACACUUUUAUUAGACCUGGGUCCAGUGGACCCGAACACCUUGUAUGUAAUGUAAAUGCGUGGGGGGAGGUACAGUAUGAGGUCAUUGAAAACUAGUUCAGAUUUAUGUUCUUCAGAGAAAAUAAGCCAAAGCCAAUGAAUUUCAGGUUGAAAAAAUAAUUCAUUGUUUAAUUUUUCUUUUGAGAAAAACUGAAAACGGGUCUCACAGACCCGAACACCAUACAAGGGUUAAUAGUUUUUCUUUAUUUUUACUACUUUCUACAUCGUAAAUGCAAACUGACGAUAUCAAAUAUAUGAAGCAAGAUAUAUUUAAUUAUGUAGCAAAGAAAAAAAAGAUAAAUAACUCUAAAUAUGUUUUAUACUUCAGAUUCCUGAGAUUAGCCGCCCUUUGCUAUGUUUUUUUUUCUUUUUGCCUGUCCCGUUUGGCUCUUUUGCCAUCAGAAUUGUUGUCUAAAGGCAAACAAAGAUGCCCAACGGAUUUACUUUACCAAAUUGACCAUCCCAGCCUUGCCGUAAUGGUCCAUUUGAUUCAUCUUUUAUUGUUUAUUUUAUUUUCAUUUACUGAAUACGGGACAGACUUGACUGGGGGAAAGAAGGGGAGAAAGAAAGAGGGAAAGAGAAACAGCUGAGAAGAGGGACGGGGGAGAAGGGCAAAAAACAAAAACCAACAGAAUGAGCAGAGAAAAAAAGAAAAAGAAAAAAAAUGCAUAUAUCGAUCACCUGGAUCACCUGCUGAGAAAGAAAAAAGAAAACAAGCAGAAGAGAACAAGAGUAAUAGAAUAAACAACAUCACAAUGAUAUAUGGGAAUAUGACAGUAAAUACCAGAGGUGGGACCAAGUCAUUGUUUUGCAAGUCUCAAGUAAGUCUCAAGUCUUUAUCCUCAAGUCUCAAGUCAAGUCUCAAGUAAUGUCAGGCAAGUCAGAGUCGAGUCUCAAGUCACUGGUGUAAAAGUCCGAGUCAAGUCACAAGUCUGAAACUUUGAAUUUCAAGUCCUUUCGAGUCUUUAAAAAAAAAACGAAAAAAUAAUGUUGCAGUUAUGCUAAAUGUAAAUAUUAGACCAUGUAAUUUUAAAAUCUGUGUUUUUCUCAACACAUGACAAAAUAGUGAACUUAGAAAAUAUACACAAAUUGUGAAAUUGCACCUCUUUAAAAUGCAGCUCAAUUAAACCUAGCUCCAAGAAUAAUUUUCACCGACAGUUCUGAGAUAAGCUGCAUGUUAUUCUUGGAUGCGGUUGUAGGACCAGCUUUAAAAUCGCAUGACAAAAAUAUCAUACACAUUAAAAAGAACUGCAUCACCAACGUAGCCUGGACAACAUUUGCUAGUUAGAUG
Astatotilapia calliptera (eastern happy) is the source of this 1396-nucleotide long non-coding RNA. Lineage: Eukaryota; Metazoa; Chordata; Actinopteri; Cichliformes; Cichlidae. The record is from Ensembl.